UAGAGUUUGAUCCUGCUCAUACGAACGCUGGGCGGCGUGCUUAAUACAUGCAAGUCGAGCGGACAGAUGGGAGCUUGCUCCCUGAAGUCAGCGGCGGACGGGUGAGUAACACGUGGGCAACCUCCCUGUAAGACUGGGAUAACUCCGGGAAACCGGGGCUAAUACCGGAUAAUUCUUUUCCUCUCAUGAGGAAAAGCUGAAAGAUGGUUUCGGCUAUCACUUACAGAUGGGCCCGCGGCGCAUUAGCUAGUUGGUGAGGUAACGGCUCACCAAGGCCACGAUGCGUAGCCGACCUGAGAGGGUGAUCGGCCACACUGGGACUGAGACACGGCCCAGACUCCUACGGGAGGCAGCAGUAGGGAAUCUUCCGCAAUGGACGAAAGUCUGACGGAGCAACGCCGCGUGAGUGAUGAAGGUUUUCGGAUCGUAAAACUCUGUUGUCAGGGAAGAACAAGUACCGGAGUAACUGCCGUACCUUGACGGACCUGACCAGAAA
Molecule: ribosomal RNA, 496 nt
Filed under: Bacillus sp. KB86
Lineage: Bacteria; Bacillati; Bacillota; Bacilli; Caryophanales; Bacillaceae
Description: bacterial SSU rRNA
Rfam family: Bacterial small subunit ribosomal RNA
Source: RNAcentral